AACAGUGGAGUCCAGGUCCCACUUUAAAAAACGGGGUGAAAUCGAAAAACCUUACGAGUAGAAUAUA
Molecule: non-coding RNA, 67 nt
Filed under: marine eukaryotic metagenome
Description: DUF805 RNA
Rfam family: DUF805 RNA
Source: RNAcentral